CACCUGUUUAUCAAAAACAUGGUUUUAUGAUUAUAUUUUAAGAUCUAUUCUGCUCAAUGAUAAUAGAUUAAUUAUUAAAUAGCCGCAGUAUUCUGACUGUGCAAAGGUAGCAUAAUCAAUUGUCUUUUAAUUAAAGACUGGAAUGAAGGAAUGAAUGAAAUUUAAACUGUCUUAUAAUAAAAAAUUAAAAUUUAAAUUUUAAGUUAAAAUGCUUAAAUAAAAUUAUGGGACGAGAAGACCCUAUAGAAUUUUAUAUAAAUUUUUAAAUAAUUAUGUGAGUAAAUAAUUAAAUUUGAAAUUAUAUUUUAUUGGGAGGAUAAUUAAAUUAAUUUAACUUUAAUUAAUUAAUAAUAUUAAUUAUAUAUAUAUAUAUAUAUAUAUAUAUAUAUAUAUAUAUAUAUAUAUAUAUAUAUAUAUAUAUAUAUAUAUAUAUAUAUAUAGACCAUUAAUUUAUGAAAAAAUGAAUAAAUUUUUAUUAAAUUUAUAUUAGAAUUAAUUACCUUAGGGAUAACAGCGUUAUAUUUUUUAAAAGAUCAUAUUAAGAAAAAUGUUUGCGACCUCGAUGUUGAAUUAAAGUAAAAAUUAAAUGAAGAAGUUUGAUAUUUUAGUCUGUUCGACUAUUAAAAUUUUACAUGAUUUGAGUUCAAAUCGACG
This 654-nucleotide ribosomal RNA is filed under the name Formica gagates. RNAcentral's name for it is "partial 16S ribosmal RNA". The stretch from base 507 to 654 matches the Rfam family "Archaeal large subunit ribosomal RNA", at positions 2542 to 2690 of the family's 2987-position model. Lineage: Eukaryota; Metazoa; Arthropoda; Insecta; Hymenoptera; Formicidae. The record is from RNAcentral.